Non-coding RNA from Poecilia formosa (Amazon molly), 73 nucleotides. Lineage: Eukaryota; Metazoa; Chordata; Actinopteri; Cyprinodontiformes; Poeciliidae. The record is from Rfam.
GUUUCUGUAGUGUAGUGGAUAUCAUCUUUGCUUUGCAUGCAAAAGGUCUCUGGUUCAAAACCAGACAGAAACA